Non-coding RNA from Hymenopellis radicata, 93 nucleotides. NCBI's taxonomy places the organism in Eukaryota, Fungi, Basidiomycota, Agaricomycetes, Agaricales, Physalacriaceae. The record is from the annotation of a GenBank genome assembly.
GCAUUAAUGGGGUAGUGGUAACCUGGGUCGUUGCCAUUGUCGAAAUAUCUGACUUUUGUCGACCCGCCGGGGGUUCGAUUCCCCCUUAAUGCA